RNAcentral lists this ribosomal RNA (858 nucleotides) under Pyrenophora chaetomioides. RNAcentral describes it as "partial large subunit ribosomal RNA". It matches the Rfam family "Eukaryotic large subunit ribosomal RNA", at positions 65 to 941 of the family's 3401-position model. The record is from RNAcentral. Lineage: Eukaryota; Fungi; Ascomycota; Dothideomycetes; Pleosporales; Pleosporaceae.
ACAACAGGGAUUGCCCUAGUAACGGCGAGUGAAGCGGCAACAGCUCAAAUUUGAAAUCUGGCUCUUUCAGGGUCCGAGUUGUAAUUUGCAGAGGGCGCUUUGGCUUUGGCAGCGGUCCAAGUUCCUUGGAACAGGACGUCACAGAGGGUGAGAAUCCCGUACGUGGUCGCUAGCUAUUGCCGUGUAAAGCCCCUUCGACGAGUCGAGUUGUUUGGGAAUGCAGCUCUAAAUGGGAGGUAAAUUUCUUCUAAAGCUAAAUACUGGCCAGAGACCGAUAGCGCACAAGUAGAGUGAUCGAAAGAUGAAAAGCACUUUGGAAAGAGAGUCAAACAGCACGUGAAAUUGUUGAAAGGGAAGCGCUUGCAGCCAGACUUGCUUGCAGUUGCUCAUCCGGGCUUUUGCCCGGUGCACUCUUCUGCAGGCAGGCCAGCAUCAGUUUGGGCGGUGGGAUAAAGGUCUCUGUCACGUACCUCUCUUCGGGGAGGCCUUAUAGGGGAGACGACAUACCACCAGCCUGGACUGAGGUCCGCGCAUUCGCUAGGAUGCUGGCGUAAUGGCUGUAAGCGGCCCGUCUUGAAACACGGACCAAGGAGUCUAACAUCUAUGCGAGUGUUUGGGUGUCAAGCCCGAACGCGUAAUGAAAGUGAACGGAGGUGGGAACCCGCAAGGGUGCACCAUCGACCGAUCCUGAUGUCUUCGGAAGGAUUUGAGUAAGAGCAUGGCUGUUGGGACCCGAAAGAUGGUGAACUAUGCUUGAAUAGGGUGAAGCCAGAGGAAACUCUGGUGGAGGCUCGCAGCGGUUCUGACGUGCAAAUCGAUCGUCAAAUUUGGGCAUAGGGGCGAAAGACUAAUCGAACU